Molecule: unclassified non-coding RNA, 211 nt
Filed under: Hevea brasiliensis (rubber tree)
Lineage: Eukaryota; Viridiplantae; Streptophyta; Magnoliopsida; Malpighiales; Euphorbiaceae
Source: RNAcentral
AGAUAGUAUUGCCUCAGCCCCUCCCCUUGUUUCCCAGCCGUCUUAGCGGAGCAUGUCUCCUCCACCAUAAUUGAUUCCGGUUGCUUAGUUUCCAACCCUACCGUCGCCAUUAAUGCAAGAAUCGGAAGCUUUUAAGUGCUAAUAAGGUAUUUGGUCUCGAGGGGUUUCUUUCGGAACAAGUCUGACGAGAUGCAAGGAGUUAUCGGUGCCG